GGAGAGGGAGCGAAGUGGCCGUCACGGCGGCGCCUCGAAAGCGCUUUGUCCGGUGAAGAGCCGGGCGCGUGGGUUCGAAUCCCUCCCUCUCCA
RNAcentral lists this transfer RNA (93 nucleotides) under Acidobacteriota bacterium. RNAcentral describes it as "Acidobacteria bacterium tRNA-Ser". It matches the Rfam family "tRNA". From Rfam's summary of the family: Transfer RNA (tRNA) molecules are approximately 80 nucleotides in length. Their secondary structure includes four short double-helical elements and three loops (D, anti-codon, and T loops). Lineage: Bacteria; Pseudomonadati; Acidobacteriota. The record is from RNAcentral.